GUGACGGUUAACGGGGAAUUAGGGUUCAAUUCCGGAGAGGGAGCCUGAGAAACGGCUACCACAUCUAAGGAAGGCAGCAGGCGCGCAAAUUACCCAAUUCUAAUAGCAUAAGAGAGGUAGUGACAAGAAAUAACAGUACAAGGCAGUUUAAAUGCUUUGUAAUUGGAAUGAUAGAAAUUUAAAUACUUUUUAAAGUAUCAAUUGGAGGGCAAGUCUGGUGCCAGCAGCCGCGGUAAUUCCAGCUCCAAUAGCGUAUAUUAAAAUUGUUGCAGUUAAAAAGCUCGUAGUUGAAUUUUUGCUAAAAAUAACCGGUCUGCUUUUAUUAAUAAAGGUGGCAUCUUGGUGUGUUUUUAGCAAUAAUGUCCUUUGAAAUGUUUUUUACUUUAUUGUAAAAGACAAUUUUCAGGAUUUUUACUUUGAGAAAAUUAGAGUGUUUCAAGCAGGCUAACGUUUUGAAUACUGCAGCAUGGAAUAAUAAAAUAGGAUUUUAGUUCUACGUUAAUGGUUUUAAGAGCUAAAUUAAUGAUUGAUAGGAGCAGUUGGGGGCAUUUGUAUUUAACUGUC
Molecule: ribosomal RNA, 564 nt
Filed under: Hepatozoon sp.
Lineage: Eukaryota; Apicomplexa; Hepatozoidae
Description: SSU rRNA
Rfam family: Eukaryotic small subunit ribosomal RNA
Source: RNAcentral